Molecule: long non-coding RNA, 892 nt
Organism: Eptesicus fuscus (big brown bat)
Lineage: Eukaryota; Metazoa; Chordata; Mammalia; Chiroptera; Vespertilionidae
Exons: 4
Source: RefSeq, a predicted model, not a curated record
AGGUGGGGCCUCCGGUCUCCACUUCACCUACUGCAGGUUUGGUCAUUUUCACGGCCCCUACGGCAGGCAGUCUGCAGGGUGCCCGGCUGCCUUACUCUGAGGCCUCUGACUCCUGCAGGAGGAACUUCUCUGACAUCUCGGUGAUUUUGAUCACGGGGCCCCUGCUUUUCUUCUUCUUCCGGAAGGGGGCUCUGACCAGGUGGAGCAUGCUUAUGAUCAGCCCAUUUUCCAGAUGGGAAAACUGAGACUUUAAGAAGCUGGGCCAACGUCUCAAUUUAUGGGGAAACUGAGGCAUGGAGCGACAAAAGAGCCUGCUGAGUUCACAUAACUACUGAGCCAGGAUUCAAAUCCGAGCUGCUCUAACGACUGUGUUGUUUUAAUCAUUUUCCCUCGCUCACAGAGUUGUGAGGAUUAAAUGAGAUUAUGCCUGGAAGGCACGUGCACGGCGCGGGGAUACAGAAGGCCCUCAAUAAACAGUAGCUAGGGAUAUUUUCGUAACUUGUGAAGGCGAUGGAGCCAGGGGGAAGUGUCCAGGGCAGAGCAGCCGACUCCCCGAGGCAUCAUGGGGGCAGGCGCCAAAGCAGCUUAGCCUCAGCAGGUUCCCUUUGCAGCAAUCUGCAUCCCAGGAGGUGUGCCUGGCUGCAGGGGGUUGUCCUCAGGUUUAGCUAAUCUCCCUGGAACCUGAAUCUAUGGGUGGGGCAGGCGGCGUUCUGGCUGGCUGCAACCGGGCCCCAAAUACACUCCGGGUCUGGAAUGCACUCUGGUAGCUGAGGGGGAUGUGAGCCUCUGCCACCGAGGCUUCUCUCACCAGCCUGUGCCCUGGAGGGGAGGGGGACUGCCCAGAAGGAUGCGGUGUGUACAUGGGCCCAAGCAGGCCUUUGGCUCCUGGGAA